CCUUAUUAAGAGAGGCAGAGGGAAUAGGCCCUGUGAAGCCCGGCAACCUAGGUGUUUAUCAGAACAUAAAAGGUGCUAAAUCCUACAGAUUUUUUCUGAAAGAUGAGG
This 108-nucleotide non-coding RNA is filed under the name pig gut metagenome. RNAcentral describes it as "SAM riboswitch (S box leader)". It matches the Rfam family "SAM riboswitch aptamer (S box leader)". Rfam says of the family: The SAM riboswitch is found upstream of a number of genes which code for proteins involved in methionine or cysteine biosynthesis in Gram-positive bacteria. The record is from RNAcentral.